UCCCCUGAGAGCUGUACUACGUGUGCAC
RNAcentral lists this non-coding RNA (28 nucleotides) under Rattus norvegicus (Norway rat). The record is from RNAcentral. Lineage: Eukaryota; Metazoa; Chordata; Mammalia; Rodentia; Muridae.